AACGAACGCUGGCGGCAGGCCUAACACAUGCAAGUCGAGCGCACCUUCGGGUGAGCGGCGGACGGGUUAGUAACGCGUGGGAACGUACCCUUUUCUACGGAAUAGCCUUUGGAAACGAAGAGUAAUACCGUAUACGCCCUUUGGGGGAAAGAUUUAUCGGAGAAGGAUCGGCCCGCGUUAGAUUAGAUAGUUGGUGGGGUAACGGCCUACCAAGUCUACGAUCUAUAGCUGGUUUUAGAGGAUGAUCAGCAACACUGGGACUGAGACACGGCCCAGACUCCUACGGGAGGCAGCAGUGGGGAAUCUUAGACAAUGGGCGCAAGCCUGAUCUAGCCAUGCCGCGUGAGUGAUGAAGGCCUUAGGGUCGUAAAGCUCUUUCGCCUGUGAUGAUAAUGACAGUAGCAGGUAAAGAAACCCCGGCUAACUCCGUGCCAGCAGCCGCGGUAAUACGGAGGGGGUUAGCGUUGUUCGGAAUUACUGGGCGUAAAGCGCACGUAGGCGGAUUGGAAAGUUGGGGGUGAAAUCCCGGGGCUCAACCCCGGAACUGCCUCCAAAACUAUCAGUCUAGAGUUCGAGAGAGGUGAGUGGAAUUCCAAGUGUAGAGGUGAAAUUCGUAGAUAUUUGGAGGAACACCAGUGGCGAAGGCGGCUCACUGGCUCGAUACUGACGCU
RNAcentral lists this ribosomal RNA (671 nucleotides) under bacterium IMCC8425. Its description in RNAcentral is "bacterial SSU rRNA". It matches the Rfam family "Bacterial small subunit ribosomal RNA", at positions 28 to 747 of the family's 1533-position model. The record is from RNAcentral.